Molecule: unclassified non-coding RNA, 417 nt
Filed under: Hevea brasiliensis (rubber tree)
Lineage: Eukaryota; Viridiplantae; Streptophyta; Magnoliopsida; Malpighiales; Euphorbiaceae
Source: RNAcentral
GUUCUUGCUGCCUCUAUUUCCCCUUCAUAAACUUUACUUCUUUAGUGCACACUCAUACUCUGUGUUUGAUUAAUUACCAAACCCCAUCACCCAGAAAAAAGAAAGACACAGAUUUUACGGUAGAAAAGAGAAAAAUUAACCACUUUUUCUUUUGACAUGACUUGAAACAAAGAUGAGUCCUAGAUUUCCCUGAAAAGACCUCCGCCACUAUCAGGAAUCAAGGCCAAGAGGAACCAAUAACAUCCCAUCUUUUAAUCACACCAGAUGUCUAAUCUUUUACAACAACCGCACAUCAUCAUAAAGCCAUGGUUCCAUUUAAAAUUUUAGCCAUUUAAGCACUUUAGUUCCCCAGAGGAAACCAAGAUGUAUCACUUUCAUUUCCUCAAAUAAUCAUGCAUACCCCAAGAUACAAGUCAA